AUCACACGAAACUUACAGAGAUCUCUGUGGAAAACUAGUCAGUUAGGUCAGACGUGAGUCACUAGAGGAGCAUUAGCAGAGAAAAUGGCAACAACAUCCUGUAAUAAAUGUGGGUUGAAGAAAAACUACAAUGGAUCAUUACCGUUUAAAUGUAAGUGUGACUCUGAAGAAGAGCCCUCCCCUUUUUCUCUGGUAAGAAUUCCAAAAGAAUAUUUUUUUUUGUUUUGAAUUAGUUUAUAUUUUCUGUUUACAUUUCAGUAAAACUU
Long non-coding RNA from Carassius auratus (goldfish), 266 nucleotides. RefSeq lists it as uncharacterized. The transcript has 3 exons. The record is from RefSeq and is a predicted model, not a curated record. NCBI's taxonomy places the organism in Eukaryota, Metazoa, Chordata, Actinopteri, Cypriniformes, Cyprinidae.